GGGUCGAUGCCCAAGUAGUUAAUAAGGAUGAACUGUAAAUUUGCUGGCAAUAUGUCUACGCUGGUUCAAAUCCAGCUCAGCCCA
This is a non-coding RNA of Lupinus angustifolius (narrow-leaved blue lupine), 84 nucleotides long. The record is from Rfam. Lineage: Eukaryota; Viridiplantae; Streptophyta; Magnoliopsida; Fabales; Fabaceae.